RNAcentral lists this ribosomal RNA (253 nucleotides) under uncultured bacterium. RNAcentral describes it as "partial 16S ribosomal RNA". It matches the Rfam family "Bacterial small subunit ribosomal RNA", at positions 524 to 776 of the family's 1533-position model. The record is from RNAcentral.
UACGUAGGGGGCAAGCGUUGCCCGGAAUCAUUGGGCGUAAAGAGCGUGUAGGCGGCCCGAUAAGUCCGCUGUGAAAGUCCAGGGCUCAACCCUGGAAUGCCGGUGGAUACUGUCGGGCUCGAGUCCGGAAGAGGCGAGUGGAAUUCCUGGUGUAGCGGUGAAAUGCGCAGAUAUCAGGAGGAACACCAAUGGCGAAGGCAGCUCGCUGGGACGGUACUGACGCUGAGACGCGAAAGUGUGGGGAGCGAACAGG